CUGGGGUUGUUUUUAGCUUUUGGUUGUUUGCUUGGCCUUUGAGCCUCGUAGGCAGCCGAUUGAUGGGGCGGCUUUGAAGAUGUUUAUCAUAAAGAUGCAUGAGUGAUGUUUGGAUUGAUACGGGUGGUUGGCUCCCUGCUUAAGCAGGCACGACCAUGCGUACAUUCCUCUUCAGUUAUGCGACAGGGCUUGUAUCGCCUUGAUCAUAUGUGUGGGUUUCCUAUGUUGCAUACCCGAUCAAUGGCAUCGUCUUGAUCAAAACAGUCCCUUUUCAUCAAGCGCCGCUCUUGUGACGUCGGACAAAUCAAGUAGCACCCUCGUUGAUCCAUCAUGUUGAAGAGCAUUUUUCUAUGGUUUGGCCCAUUAAGGGAUGCUUGGUCUCUCAGAUAUGGAAGCCAAAGUGGGCAUGGGGUUGUAUGAUCCUUUUAUUACCCUCAUUGAGCAUCCUUGCUUCUCUAAAAUGACCGCCUCUCACGUAUGGCAUGUCCCAGCAUGUUUAGCUAUGUCGAAGAGGAAUGCUACC
RNAcentral lists this unclassified non-coding RNA (523 nucleotides) under Aylacophora deserticola. Its description in RNAcentral is "partial external transcribed spacer". The record is from RNAcentral. Lineage: Eukaryota; Viridiplantae; Streptophyta; Magnoliopsida; Asterales; Asteraceae.